GACGAACGCUGGCGGCGUGCUUAACACAUGCAAGUCGAACGCUGAAGCUCAGCUUGCUGGGUGGAUGAGUGGCGAACGGGUGAGUAACACGUGAGUAACCUGCCCUCUUCUUUGGGAUAACGCCCGGAAACGGGUGCUAAUACUGGAUAUUCACUGAUUCUCGCAUGGGGGUUGGUGGAAAGGUUUUUUCUGGUGGGGGAUGGGCUCGCGGCCUAUCAGCUUGUUGGUGGGGUGAUGGCCUACCAAGGCUUUGACGGGUAGCCGGCCUGAGAGGGUGACCGGUCACAUUGGGACUGAGGUCCGGCCCCGACUCCUACGGGGGGCAGCAGGGGGGAAUAUUGCCCAAGGGGGGAAAGCCUGAUGCACCGCCGCCGGGGGGGGGGUGGGGGCCUUCGGGUUGGAAACCUUUUUGGCUCAGGGUCAAGCCGCAGUUUUGGGUUGUGGUGGGGGUGGUGGGUAAAGAAGCCCCGGCUACCUACGU
This 481-nucleotide ribosomal RNA is filed under the name uncultured bacterium. RNAcentral describes it as "partial 16S ribosomal RNA". It matches the Rfam family "Bacterial small subunit ribosomal RNA", at positions 28 to 506 of the family's 1533-position model. The record is from RNAcentral.